UCAGCCUGAGGCUUGCAACCCGUAGCCUGACGUUCAUGAUGAGCAAGCAGAGUCGGUAAAGGUAUUGGGGAGUGCGUUACUGUGAAUAAGAUGGUGGAACAAACCUGUGGAUCUUAUCCCAUCCACAGUGCUUGCAUUUGGAAUUGGCACGGUGCAGGUGAAAGCUUGAUUCAUGCAGCCUUCAAAGAAGUUGUCUGCCUUAACCCAGAGAUAUGGGAGAUGUGUGCACAGCUCUAUGAAGGACAGACCCAACCCAGAUAUAUUGGAAACAAGAGCAGCCUUCUAUCAUGGCAAAGAAAGAUGCCCUGCUGGUGGUGGUAGUGGGGGGUGAAGCUGUGCAUGUGCCCCAUUGGGUCACCAAUGCACAUGUGCUGAAGGGACAGGGAGAGUGGGAGAGACUGCGGCGCAUGUGGUCAGCAGGAGGACUCCAUCCAUGCAUGCAAAGGCUGAUUUGACACGUGUGCUCCAUCGCUUACCAUGUUCUCUACUGCACCUGUGAGGUGAGGAGAGUGUACUGUGCCAGGCAAAUGAGAGCCAUUGCACAGUGUGUUCAGGUGUGUGCAGUGCUGCCCUCAUCUGACAAAAAUUAGUACUGCAGAUGAAUAACAUGCAUGUGCCCUAUGUUCCCACCCAUUAACUGCUGCACUUGCGUAUCUAAAAAACAGUACUGCUACCAAAAGGAGUACAAACACACCCAUUUUGACA
Long non-coding RNA from Nothoprocta perdicaria, 705 nucleotides. RefSeq lists it as uncharacterized. Lineage: Eukaryota; Metazoa; Chordata; Aves; Tinamiformes; Tinamidae. The transcript has 3 exons. The record is from RefSeq and is a predicted model, not a curated record.